Molecule: long non-coding RNA, 872 nt
Organism: Mesoplodon densirostris (Blainville's beaked whale)
Lineage: Eukaryota; Metazoa; Chordata; Mammalia; Artiodactyla; Ziphiidae
Exons: 3
Source: RefSeq, a predicted model, not a curated record
GAUCUCCUCCAUCUGGCAGGGAUAUGAAAACAUCCACUUUCUGAACUAAAAGAGAAGUUGGACUACAUGAUCUGAAAGCCCUGACUUUCUCAACAUCCUUAUAUUCACAUUGUGCUGGAAUUCCUGCUCUUCUUCUGACAAGUUGUUAGCUACUUGCUGUGGACUCCUCCAUCAUGUGAAAUGCCCCCAGCCAGUAAGAUCUCGACCAAAGCCGUCUCCUCUAUAAGCACCUCGAGUACUUGGCUCCUACUUUUGCCAACAUCACCUCUUCACCCAGGAAAAACAGCCCCAGCGGAACCUUCCCUCCUUCACUUUAUUUCCCUAAACUUGCUAUUCAGAGCACCUUCUUGAAGUCUCCCUGGUGCUGGGAAGAAGAGGAUAGCAGGAUGGUAAAGAAAUUCUUUGGAAAUGCGAACUUACCCCACUGGUGAGGUUGACGUCAAGUCUCCUUCUCGUCCAGCUCCGAUAGGACCACAGGCCACUAGAAGAGCUUCAUUCAGGAGGUGUUCAUCUUCCUUACAAAGUGGAAAAUGGGCUACAGCUCAGUAGUUUUUACCCUGUUUGUGAGAGCUGAAAGAUCUGCUCUGGAAAGCCACAAAGUAGACACUAUAUUUCUAGUGUGAAAGGAUUUCAAUCUAAAAUGGAACCAGAGGAUAUAAAAAGAAGAAUCUCACGCAUGUGCCCUCAGGAAAAUGAAACUUAGGAAUUGAGAGACUAAUUUCUUGUGAAUGCCUGACUGACAGAAAACCAGAACUUCUCUUCUAACCAAGGAAGAUCCGCCAAUCAUCUCUCCCCAUGCUCAAGCGAAUGAACUUACCACUUGGACUCUGUCCGGAUGCACCCUCUUUGCACUCCUCACUCACAGAUAGAGG